RNAcentral lists this unclassified non-coding RNA (336 nucleotides) under soil metagenome. Its description in RNAcentral is "partial contains 5.8S ribosomal RNA, internal transcribed spacer 2, and large subunit ribosomal RNA". The stretch from base 1 to 120 matches the Rfam family "5.8S ribosomal RNA", at positions 35 to 154 of the family's 154-position model. The record is from RNAcentral.
GAUGAAGAACGUAGCGAAAUGCGAUAAGUAAUGUGAAUUGCAGAAUUCAGUGAAUCAUCGAAUCUUUGAACGCACUUUGCGCCCGCCAGUAUUCUGGCGGGCAUGCCUGUUCGAGCGUCAUUUCAACCAUCAAGCCCCCGGCUUGUGUUGGGGACCUGCGGCUGCCGCAGGCCCUGAAAACCAGUGGCGGGCUCGCUAGUCACUCCGAGCGUAGUAAUACAUCUCGCUCAGGGCGUGCUGCGGGUUCCGGCCGUUAAAAAAGCCUUAUUUACCCAAGGUUGACCUCGGAUCAGGUAGGAAGACCCGCUGAACUUAAGCAUAUCAAUAAGCGGAGGA